This is a long non-coding RNA of Salvelinus namaycush (lake trout), 1253 nucleotides long. RefSeq lists it as uncharacterized. The transcript has 5 exons. Lineage: Eukaryota; Metazoa; Chordata; Actinopteri; Salmoniformes; Salmonidae. The record is from RefSeq and is a predicted model, not a curated record.
GGAAGAACAACGAAGGAGGACGCAUGGAGUUUGUAUGCGCUCGCACCAAUAUUAUUUUUAUGAGCAAUAACUUGUUGAAUUCCCCGUUCAGUCAACAGGUUUGUCUUUUGGGGACAGAUGGUGCUGGCUAUUCCAGUAGUGUACUGAGAUUUGAUUGGCUGGCAGGGUACUGAAGAUGCUAUAAGAGAUCUACGUCGGGGGUGUCACUCAUUCCAUAGAGAGCCUAGUGUCUGCAGGUUUUGGGUUUUCCUUUCAGCUAAGGUUUAGACAACCAGGUGAUGGAGUGACCUUAACUCAUCAAUCGAGUACAGGGAGCAGCGAAACCUGCAUACACUCUGCCCUUCGUGCAAUGAGUUUGACACGCAAUGAGUUUAUGAGUUAAUGGACCAGGAUGUAUAUUGAAGACUGGUGUAAAUCUUGCCCUGUGAUUGCGUUUGAUGAUCCAGUAUGUGGAAUAUGAAGACUUAAAUCUCAACCCUAUGGUGAGUGUGAGGGCUAAAAAUAGCCAAUUGUUUUCCUUCAGUCUUCUACUGGAGUUGUGAUGACUUCUCACUUUUGCUCUUUUCCUGGUCUGACUAAAUUGGGAUGCUGUGACAUACUGAACUGCCAGUAUUAACAUUGAUAAUUAUAGGUAGACGCAAUGCAGCGAUAUGGUAUAGAUGCAGAGAGUAAAGGGGAUAGUGGGUCAAUUUCCACAACUAAGAGUGUUGAAGCGUGAGCAUCUCGCUUAGCUCAAUAUCUGCGGUGCACCUCGUGGCAGCAGCAUUUUGCAGGGUCUACCUUCAAUCAUUAAACCUGCAAUCCCUGACUAAGGUUUGAGACUACUUAUUUCAUCAUGCAGGGUUGUUAGACCUGCAGUAGGGGAGUUAUUUCCUGGGUUGUGAGGUGUCAACUAAAAUUUUUCUACCCAUGAACAUUCAUUUUUAAUGGAAUUGUGAUGCCUUUUCUGACAUUUCUGCUAAUUUACCCCUCAAUGGUAGAAAGUAGUUUUAGGUUGCUGGCUAAUCUCAGACAAUGGUAAUUUAUUUAACCGAAUUCUUCUAUUCAUUGACAAUUCACAAGGUUUGGAAAGCGGUGCAGGUACUCUUCACAAAUGUGACCCUGGAGACCUAAACUAUCACCCUAUUUGCAACUUUCUUGCCUGUCAAAAAAGCACACCCUUGGUCUGACUCCCCUGCUUAAAUUUAAAGUUAAAUGUUUGUUUUUAAUCAGAUUUUAUUCUGUCCUGUUAUGAAAUAAAAUAUUUUAUGGUA